GAGUUUGAUUAUGGCUCAGGACGAACGCUGGCGGCGUGCUUAACACAUGCAAGUCGAACGGAGCUGUUUAUUUCGGUAGAUAGCUUAGUGGCAAACGGGUGAGUAACGCGUAGGCAACCUGCCCUUAGGAUGGGGACAACGGCCCGAAAGGACCGCUAAUACCGAAUGCACUCUAACUUCCGCAUGGAAGAAAGAGGAAAGAUGGUGCAAGCCAUCGCCGAAGGAAGGGCCUGCGUCUGAUUAGCCAGUUGGUGAGGUAACGGCUCACCAAAGCGACGAUCAGUAGCCGGUCUGAGAGGAUGAACGGCCACAAUGGGACUGAGACACGGCCCGUACUCCUACGGGAGGCAGCAGUGGGGAAUCUUCCGCAAUGGGCGAAAGCCUGACGGAGCAACGCCGCGUGAGUGAAGAAGGUCUUCGGAUCGUAAAGCUCUGUUGUUGGGGACGAAAGGAAAAGGGAGGAAAUGCCCUUUUAAGACG
Molecule: ribosomal RNA, 480 nt
Filed under: Schwartzia sp. canine oral taxon 042
Lineage: Bacteria; Bacillati; Bacillota; Negativicutes; Selenomonadales; Selenomonadaceae
Description: bacterial SSU rRNA
Rfam family: Bacterial small subunit ribosomal RNA
Source: RNAcentral